This 2185-nucleotide long non-coding RNA is filed under the name Triticum aestivum (bread wheat). Its description in RNAcentral is "long non-coding RNA (TAES_LNC001680)". Lineage: Eukaryota; Viridiplantae; Streptophyta; Magnoliopsida; Poales; Poaceae. The record is from RNAcentral.
CACAUGUUUGUGAUAAUUGGUCCUGGUUAAGACAGUCUAGAGCUGCAACUCUCGUUUGCUGUCAGGAUAUAUGACACUUCGCGUUGUAUUCUGCUUUCUUCUCAUCCGACAUUGGCAUACCAUGAUUGAACACUUUUCCUUUUAGGAUCGUCCGUUUGAUUAUGUGGGAUAUUAGCACUACCAUCCAUAGUUGUGUUUGUUAGGUCCUUAAAUGGGGUACAUUCUCUUGAUGUAAACAGGGGCACAUUCAUUUUUCUUCUCUUACUCAUCUGCAGAUAGAGAAGUACAAAUGUCAAACAAUAUAUAAAAGGUAAAGAGAGAGUGGUGAAGAUCAUUUAUGCAGGGCAACAUAGUCAUGUGAACCAGAUCCUGACUAUUAUGUACAAAGCAUCACCAAUUAGUUUCUUAAAAAUAAAAUAAAGAUUGAGCAUUAACCUCUAUAUGACUUGGGAGCAAUGUACGUGUAUAUCUCACAGAAUUCAAGGUGCGUAGUAUAAAGAAAAGAGCCCGUGUAUGCAUGCUAUACGUUGAGCCUGCCUGGGUGUCGGCGACCACACUUGCAUAUAGCGACGACCAGUCCUCGCCUAUGAUAACAUGUGUGAUUCUUUACCCGGGGCCGAUAGGGUGGUAGAACAUGAACAUAUUGAUGACCGGAUCACCAAAUAUAGUGGCAAAUACUGUGACUGCCAAACACAUCGUGGUUUUCACAAUAUUGUAGAAAACUGUAGCCACACACUCACGCACUUACAGGUGGGAUCCAUGACGUCACACCAUUGCUUCCUCCUCAUCGAUGUCAUCCUGAUCGGUAGGGCCAGCUUCUUUCGCGGGUCGACUUGUCGAUGGCGUGUGGACCUGCAACUCGAUCGAUGCCCGGCGUCGCGUUAGUGAGAGGUGAGAGCGUAACACAAACAAAGCCUAAGUCCUGUCCUCAAACAAGUCAAUGAAAAAUAAUCCAAUCCUUCUACUGCACAAUCAGGUAAAUCCCACAUAAAGCAUGCGCCUUGAGAUGUAUGACACAUUACUGAAUUUUGCAUAUAUAGGGCGUACGUAAGUCAGCCUACCUCGGUAACUUGCUGCACACAAAGUAUACUUUGCUGAAUUUUGCAUUUACCAAAUAUAAUGAGCCUCACUAAAUUAAGCAAACACAUGUCAGUUCAAGAGACAGGCACGCUGCUAACUGACCAAAUCAAUUUGAAUAUAGCAAAAUUCAGUACAACUCAUAUAUCAAAGCAAGCGUACAACUGGUGUGGCCGUUCCCAUGUGGGCGCAAGUGCGGCCUCGUUUGCCAGCCAGCGGCCGCCCUCGUGCGUUCACAUCCUCACGGGGGCGGCAACUCCCGUACGUGUGCGGAGUUGAGGCAAUGAGUGUGAGUUUUAGUGGCAACAGUAAUAUGCAGAUGUCUAAAUAAACGGUGACAUAAUGGUACCAUGAGUCAGUUGAUUCCAAGACAUGUCUUAAACACGAAAGGCUUGCAAGUGCAUGCUCUCUAAUCUCUACCUCUACACGCAGCCAUGUGAGGGCAGAAAAGAUGUAUGGAUUAAGAGGGAGAUGGGGUGGUUGGCCGUACCUGCACAUCAAGUGAGUGGUGGGGAUCGUGGAGCUGGGUCUCGCCUGGUGAACGGCCACUACACGCGUCACAUGACGGUGGAGGAGCAGCCGCAUGCUCGCCUGGAUCCUGUUGGUGGUGCUGCUUGAGGCCAACAAGAUCUAGCCUGCAUAAGAGGAGAACCAAGGCCAUCAUAUCGCGAGGCCUCUUCUUGGCUCGGAUCCCAUGGGCCGCCUCUUCGGGACGGCCGGGAGACGUCAGAUCCAUGCUGCCGUGUCGGCGUAGCAGCAGGCGAAGCUUGGGAGGGGUGUCGGCACACCGGUUAAGCACGGAGAGAGACGACGACGGGGAACUCAUGGUCGUGCUCGUCCUCCUCUGGACACGGUUCUCGCCAUGGAGGAGGCGGCCGGAUGGGGCAGGGAUGCCCCGGUGGAUUUCCUGAGACCAAGAUCUGGGAGGGUUAAAUUUUGGGUUAGCGCUAAUUUUGAGGUGGGAUUGGGUGGGCAGUUAGCGGUAAUUAUGGGUGUGAUUACGUGGUUGCCGAUUGAACCUUUCUAUUUUUUUUUGCUCGCUCGCUCGCAGAGUUUUCGUCCGGCACAUUAAAUUGCUAAACGUACUUUUUGGGAUAUUUAGUUGUUG